AGUGAACGCUGGCGGUAGGCCUAACACAUGCAAGUCGAACGGCAGCACAGUAAGAGCUUGCUCUUACGGGUGGCGAGUGGCGGACGGGUGAGGAAUACAUCGGAAUCUACUUUUUCGUGGGGGAUAACGUAGGGAAACUUACGCUAAUACCGCAUACGACCUACGGGUGAGAGCAGGGGAUCUUCGGACCUUGCGCGAUUGAAUGAGCCGAUGUCGGAUUAGCUAGUUGGCGGGGUAAAGGCCCACCAAGGCGACGAUCCGUAGCUGGUCUGAGAGGAUGAUCAGCCACACUGGAACUGAGACACGGUCCAGACUCCUACGGGAGGCAGCAGUGGGGAAUAUUGGACAAUGGGCGCAAGCCUGAUCCAGCCAUACCGCGUGGGUGAAGAAGGCCUUCGGGUUGUAAAGCCCUUUUGUUGGGAAAGAAAAGCGGCAGGUUAAUACCCCGCUGUUCUGACGGUACCCAAAGAAUAAGCACCGGCUAACUUCGUG
RNAcentral lists this ribosomal RNA (492 nucleotides) under uncultured bacterium. RNAcentral describes it as "partial 16S ribosomal RNA". It matches the Rfam family "Bacterial small subunit ribosomal RNA", at positions 29 to 507 of the family's 1533-position model. The record is from RNAcentral.